UCGAGAAUCUUUCGCAAUGGGCGAAAGCCUGACGAAGCGACGCCGUGUGAAUGAAGAAGGCCUUCGGGUUGUAAAGUUCUUUCGCCUGGGAACAAGAAAGGCUGGGGAUAAUCCAGCCGAUUUGAGGGUACUAGGUAAAGAAGCACCGGCUAACUCCGUGCCAGCAGCUGCGGUAAUACGGAGGGUGCAAGCAUUAAUCGGAAUUAUUGGGCGUAAAGGGCGCGUAGGCGGGGAUAUCAGUCAAACGUGAAAUCUAAGGGCUUAACCUUUGGACUGCGUUUGAAACUAUAUUUCUUGAGGGUAAGUGGGGAGAAUGGAAUUCCACAAGUAGCGGUGGAAUGCGUAGAUAUGUGGAGGAACACCUGUGGCGAAGGCGGUUCUCUAACUUAUUCCUGACGCUGAGGCGCGAAAGCAAGGGGAGCAAACA
RNAcentral lists this ribosomal RNA (427 nucleotides) under uncultured prokaryote. RNAcentral's name for it is "bacterial SSU rRNA". It matches the Rfam family "Bacterial small subunit ribosomal RNA", at positions 355 to 774 of the family's 1533-position model. The record is from RNAcentral.